This 461-nucleotide ribosomal RNA is filed under the name uncultured bacterium. RNAcentral's name for it is "partial 16S ribosomal RNA". It matches the Rfam family "Bacterial small subunit ribosomal RNA", at positions 338 to 795 of the family's 1533-position model. The record is from RNAcentral.
CCUACGGGAGGCAGCAGUGAGGAAUAUUGGUCAAUGGGCUUACGCCUGAACCAGCCAAGUCGCGUGAGGGAAGACUGCCCUAUGGGUUGUAAACCUCUUUUGUCAGGGAGCAACGCCGGCUACGUGUAGCCGGACUGAGAGUACCUGAAGAAAAAGCAUCGGCUAACUCCGUGCCAGCAGCCGCGGUAAUACGGAGGAUCCGAGCGUUAUCCGGAUUUAUUGGGUUUAAAGGGAGCGUAGGUGGAUUGUUAAGUCAGUUGUGAAAGUUUGCGGCUCAACCGUAAAAUUGCAGUUGAAACUGGCAGUCUUGAGUGAGGGAGAAGUAUGCGGAAUGCGUGGUGUAGCGGUGAAAUGCAUAGAUAUCACGCAGAACUCCGAUUGCGAAGGCAGCAUACCGGCGCUCAACUGACGCUCAUGCACGAAAGUGUGGGUAGCGAACAGGAUUAGAUACCCCUGUAGUC